Molecule: ribosomal RNA, 425 nt
Filed under: uncultured bacterium
Lineage: Bacteria
Description: bacterial SSU rRNA
Rfam family: Bacterial small subunit ribosomal RNA
Source: RNAcentral
GGACCCGCACAAGCGGUGGAGCAUGUGGUUUAAUUCGAUGCAACGCGAAAAACCUUACCUACACUUGACAUACUUGGAAUCUUUUGUAAUGAAAGAGUGCCUUUUGGAGCCAAGAUACAGGUGCUGCAUGGCUGUCGUCAGCUCGUGUCGUGAGAUGUUGGGUUAAGUCCCAUAACGAGCGCAACCCUCACCCUUAUUUGCCAGCGGUUAGGCCGGGAACUAUAAGGGAACUGCCGGUAAUAAGCCGGAGGAAGGUGGGGACGACGUCAAGUCAUCAUGGCCCUUACGGCCUGGGCUACACACGUGCUACAAUGGCUAGGACAGACGGCUGCAAACCAGCGAUGGGAGCUAAUCCGACAAACCUAGUCGUAGUCCGGAUUGGAGUCUGCAACUCGACUCCAUGAAGUCGGAAUCGCUAGUAAUCG